This is a non-coding RNA of Mycena metata, 94 nucleotides long. The record is from the annotation of a GenBank genome assembly. NCBI's taxonomy places the organism in Eukaryota, Fungi, Basidiomycota, Agaricomycetes, Agaricales, Mycenaceae.
GACCCUGUAGCAUGUGGCAUGCCUCUGCCUUCCUUUCAGAUGUAGUAUGUUGUUUCUCUAGCGGAAGAUCCCGGUUCGAUUCCGGGCGGGGUCG